GUCUACAGCCAUGCCACCCUGAACAAACCCUGAACAAACCCGAUCCUGUCUGAUCUCGGAAGCUAAGCAGGGUCAGGCCUGGUUAGUACUUGGAUGGGAGACCAACUAGGAAGACCAGGUGCUGUAGGCA
RNAcentral lists this ribosomal RNA (130 nucleotides) under Pteropus alecto (black flying fox). The record is from RNAcentral. Lineage: Eukaryota; Metazoa; Chordata; Mammalia; Chiroptera; Pteropodidae.